AGUGUGGGUAAUUCAGAUAGAGAGAGAGAGAGAGAGCGAGAUCAGCUUACAAGUAUAGCUUACAAAUUUACGGUUAGCAGCAGCGUUGCCACCAGGUGGAUAACAAGCGCACAGCUGUUUAUUUGCACAUUAGGAAAAAAAGAGGAACGGAAUGUCACCAAAUAUAUUAAACUCCAAUAUUCUGUUCAGCAGGGGGUGCAGUGGUGCGGGGAAAGUUAAUUAUAGCCGGUUGCAUGCGGGGGCCACACACUGACACGAGGAAAGGACGCACACAUAUGUGUGGCUGGUAUGCAAAAUGUUGCAAUCCGCGCCAUGUUGCGGGACAGUGCUGCUCGUUCUCUGGGCACAUGAGUCUAGCCCAUACAAAUUAAAUGUUGCCAGCCGCAUACGACAUUGUUGCGAUGAAGGAGGGAAAAAAGAGAGCAAAUAUCCCACCAAACGGCUACCAAAAUUCAAAAAAAUUUUAAAAAUUGGCUAACCAAAAAAAAAAAACGAAAAAUGAAAAUAGAUAACCCAAACGUAUCAAAUUUUGUGGUUUUUAUUUAAGAAUUAAGAACAAUUUAAUUCUUUAUUUAAAUUGUAAAAACACCAACCCAUUGAGUGGAAAAAAUAUACUCAAAUCGGAGUUGCGUUGUUGCCUGGGGUUUGAUUGCGUUUUGUUUUGGAAAAUCACUCAAAAUAGGUAAAAGAGAACGCUCUGUAAUGUUUUACAAUGCUACCUUAUUUGAAGUUCCACUGAACUGCGUACAACUGUUACGGUAUGCCAUCCACUUGUGUUUCCAGUUAAUCCGAGAUAAUUCAUACAGUGGAUGCAUUAUUGGCGCCAAUUUAAGAUCCAACCCAGGAUCCAAAAUGUUGGAGACAUUACUUGCCAGUCAUUAAAACAUCUGCAUUUUCUUACAUCGAUUACUAUUAAAAUUAUGUUUUAUUAAUCUUUGUUUUACAACAAAAUACAGACUAAAUAAUAAGUAAAAUAUAUUUAUUUAUUAUAUAUUCUUAUUAUUAUUAAUAUUGACCCUGGCCAGUGGUGGCGCUCAAAGUUUACGCUAUUUUGUUUGAAUUUUCCGUUUAUGGGGAGCUACUGUUUAUUAUGUUAUGUUUCAGUUUUAUUCAUUAUUAUAAAGGAGACAACUAUCUACUAAACUGUCGUUGGCCCACGCCCAUGCGCGGUAUUUAUUACUCUUUCGCUUACUAUUUAUUCUAUGACAAAAUUUAAAAUGUGUUGCUUGUGCCGGGUGCGUGUACAUUUAAACCAAAGGGUUAUGUUUUACAAAAAAUAUAUUGUUAAAAUGAUUGGAUAAAUGCAUAAAUAAGUAGUUAAAAAUGGUUGGCUGCAGAGGGGACUAUCCUUCAGCCCGGUUCGGUUCGGUUCGGUAUACUACAGUCAAAAAUUUGUGUGAUUUCAAGUAUUUUUGUACAAUUUAUUCGCAUGUGGUGUUUCUAUACAUUUACAAUUAUGUAUGCAUUACUUUAUUCUUAUGUGGGAAGCAACAUGCACAUACAUAACAUCGAAAAACAAGCGCCCUAAAAUACAGAUUGCUUCUUUCCUUGGGGUUUCGUUUCAUUCAUUGCUGGGGCAACGCGCGCAUAGCCAGCACGCGGUCCAAAAAA
This is a long non-coding RNA of Drosophila pseudoobscura, 1611 nucleotides long. RefSeq lists it as uncharacterized. Lineage: Eukaryota; Metazoa; Arthropoda; Insecta; Diptera; Drosophilidae. The transcript has 3 exons. The record is from RefSeq and is a predicted model, not a curated record.